Long non-coding RNA from Macaca mulatta (Rhesus monkey), 3275 nucleotides. Lineage: Eukaryota; Metazoa; Chordata; Mammalia; Primates; Cercopithecidae. The record is from Ensembl.
CUGGGGGUUCCCAGGUGUCUCAGCCCAAAGCACAGCUUUCUAAAGACGGUGUCCUGGAGAGUGACACCCCCUCUCCCUGCCCCAUCCCCAGUGGCCUCCCCUGGGAACUGUCUCCAGGCAGCAGGUGAGGAGCUGGUGUGCCAGUGUGCCAGUGAUGACACAGGUCUGACUCCUUUUUCUUCCUCUGAGCCCCUCUUCUCUCUGAAACAGGGACGAAGUGGGGGACACAGUUCCCUUGCCCGGCAGGCACGUACAGCUCCCAGACAGGCAACAGCCAGCUCGAGGACUGCCUGCCCUGCCCCCCAGGAGCCUUCUGCCCCAGUGGGGUCCCUGAGCCGGAGCUCUGCCCACAGCCAAGAGACCCACCAGAGGAGGACCUGCUCCCCAGGUCAUCACUGCCGCCAGGGCACUAGCCACCUCCCUAGGCCCUGUCCUCCAGGCGUGUCCAGUCCCUGGGAGGACCGAAGCCAGGCCCACAGCUGCCCACCAUGUCCUGCAGGUGAGGAGGGGGGCCAAGGCUGUGCAGUGGGGCCUGAGGGACGCAGCUCCUGGGAAACAGAGGUCUGUGACCCGAGGUUGAGGGCAAGGCCUUUUGACUGUGGGGAAUCCCUUAACUCGGGAAUCCUGAGUUCUCCCCUCAUAGAGCUGAGAUGAGCAUUAAAUAAGAUGGACCUCAGGAAGGGCAGUAAAGAAACACCUGUCCUGAAGGAGGCUGCAGAGGAGAAUAAGCCUGAGGAGAGGCACGGUUGGGCAUGGACCCCACCACAGCGAUGGCCCCUCCUGCAGGGCAGGCGAGCGGCAGGGGUGGAGAGCGUAACAGAGAAAGGUAGGAUCCAAUUUCUGCAGGGUCUCUGAAGUGCAGGAAAUGCCCCAUCUCUGCUGGUGCCUGGCCAAGGCUUCCACGCUGCCCAAAAGAUCAGGAAAGCACCACGACAGCUUUCCCGAAGCAGAAGUUCAAGGCUGAACUUAGGAAGGAGGAUCCUAAAAAGGUCACAAUCGCAGGGCACUGGGCUGGAGGAGCUUUAGGAGCAGAACUUCCCACAUGUCCUUGCAGCCACAAGAGGGAGCCUGGACCUGUGUUCCCCAAGGCCCUUGAGUGGCAGGCCCAGCCUUCAGCCCUGGCAUGGUCCCAGCAUGACCUUGGCGGCCCCGAGCCCACAGGCAGGGCUCUGAGGACUAUGUUGUGGGAUUAACAUUCACCCAGCAGACUCUACCAAGUGACGCUUCAGCUUCACAGGCAGUGACUCCAGGACGGGGUCGGGGGACACCCCAGGAUGGAGAGGCUAAUAAAACCACCCCCAGCCCUAACCCCAGCCCCACCUUCCCCCUCCCUGAGACAGCUCAUGAGGUGAGGUGACCUCUAACCCUCCCGAGUCACCUGAGGGUUGGGGGGUUGUGGAGAUGACUUUCAUGCACGCUGUGAGGACACCAGUGAUUUCACCUGAGCUCCUCCACCUUCUUUUUGCACCUUUGGCUACCUGUGUGGGGAAGGUGACGCGUCGUCUUUCGCAGGUGUCCCUACCCUCCCAUAUAAGACAUGUCUUCACACAGACAAAGCCGUCGGCUUUAGGGACAGUCACACAUUACUCUUUCUUUUCUCUUCCCAUAGAAAUGUAAGGGCCCCCUCUCCUUAGAGUACUUGUCAGUGUAAUUUUUGUUAAAUUAGGUCCAUCUCAUUCAGAAAGGGUUUGAACAAACCAUAAGUGAUGACAUCAUCAAUGUGUAAAUGAAAACAAGCUUAGCUGGAGUGGAAACAGGUUUCUAGAACACUCAUCUGGAGGCCCCCCGAGUGGGGUCUGGAACCCCAACUCUUCAGUGCCCUGCAGUGCCCUCCACACCGAGAGUGGGGCUGAAGGCACCACCCACCUUUCCCCAGGAUGGGCAAGUCCUAGAACCCCCACGCUUUCUCCCCAGCUUUGGGUUCCUAAGCAGAGUCUGGCACAGACAGGCAAGAAUUAAUUCAGAAGGGGCCGCAUCUCAGGGCCCACUGCCAUCCCUGGCCUUGAAAGCCACCCUGGCAGUGGAGGGCACUGUCACUCCAGCUCACAAGCUCUGCUCCCUUAUUCUGGGAAAUGUCCCCCUGCAGGUGUGGGUGAGGUGGGGGUGGUCGAGAGCCUGGCAGGGGUCCAGGGAGGGCUGCCCUGCAAUCUCAGCCACUUCUGAUUCUCUGGGCAGGAGCUGAGGUCACUCAUCCCAAUAAAGACAUCCAUGUGAGUGCAGGGGGGCCCUGCCCUCCAGGUCACUUCUGUCCAGUGGGCAUGGGGGUGCCCCUGCCAUGCCCUGUGGGCACCUUCUCAGAUCGGUGAGUAUGAGUGCCGCUGCCCUGGUCCCAGAGGCUGAGCCCAGACCUCCUCUCGGUCCUCCUUUCCUCUGACCAGCUGACCAACAAUAUCCCUCAGCCAUGGGAGGGUGUGAGGCUGGGACAGCAGGACUUCCACCCGGGCUGGGAGGGCAGAAAGCCUUGGGGAGUGUGGGUUGGAGGGGCCAGAUCGAGGGCAGGCCAUGCGGGCUUUGAGGGGCUUGAGAACACGUCAUACUCAAGAAAGCAAAGCCAUUAAGAAUAUGUGUCUGCCGAUGUCUCUUUUGAGACCAGACCCUCUCCUCAUCUUUAGGACCCUCCCAGCUCCCAAGAGAAGACAGCCCAAAGCAAGGGCCAGUCAUGGAGCCAAUGGCUCGGGGGAGGGCGGCAGGGGAGUGUGGGGCAGUUAGAUGUUGUGAUUGUAGCUGCCGGAUCACAGAGGUCUGUGGCCCUGGAUGGCCUGAGCUUGAAUUGGGAUUAAGACAGAGAAGAAUUAUAACCAGGUUCAUAUCUCAGAGCGGAAAGAGAGAAACAGAGAGAAGAGCCACACUUUCCCUCAGGCACCUGCCGGAAAUGCUACCUAAGAGAGGAGAGAUGAAAAGGAAAUUGUGAAAAGGCGGUCCCUGCCAGGGUGCGCCUGGGUCCACCCUUUCAGAGUGGCCUGGUCUCACAGCCCCUUCCUCCCACCUGCUCCCUUUCCUGGCCCAUCUCCUGGGUUUCUUUGUGUCUCCCCAGGAUAUUUCUCUCCACGGCCUCUGAGUGCCUGUCCUGUCCCCCCGGCUAUUUCUGCGGUGCCUCUGGCCUGGCUGCGCCCUCCGGCCCCUGCUCCCCCGGCUACUUCUGUCUGGCAGGAGCCUCCUCCCCAACCCCGACAGGUAUGGAGCCCCCUGGGAGUGGGUGGGCCCUGUACCACCCAAUGCCCUGAAGUGGGGGCUCUGAUGGUUUGGCGCCGAUGGGCUGUGGGUGGUUUGAGGAC